GGUACGCGCGGAUCUUCCAGAGAUUAGAGUUUGAUCCUGGCUCAGGACGAACGCUGGCGGCAUGCCUAAUACAUGCAAGUCGAGCGAAUGAAGAAAAAGCUUGCUUUUUCUGAUUUAGCGGCGGACGGGUGAGUAACACGUGGGCAACCUGCCCUGUAGAUUGGGAUAACUCCGGGAAACCGGGGCUAAUACCGAAUAAUCCAUUUCCUCACAUGUGGAAAUGUUAAAAGACGGUCUCGGCUGUCACUACAGGAUGGGCCCGCGGCGCAUUAGCUAGUUGGUAGGGUAACGGCCUACCAAGGCGACGAUGCGUAGCCGACCUGAGAGGGUGAUCGGCCACACUGGGACUGAGACACGGCCCAGACUCCUACGGGAGGCAGCAGUAGGGAAUCUUCCACAAUGGACGAAAGUCUGAUGGAGCAAUGCCGCGUGAGUGAAGAAGGUUUUCGGAUCGUAAAACUCUGUUGUGAGGGAAGAACAAGUACGAGAGUAACUGCUCGUACCUUGACGGUACCUCAUUAGAAAGCCACGGCUAACUACGUGCCAGCAGCCGCGGUAAUACGUAGGUGGCAAGCGUUGUCCGGAAUUAUUGGGCGUAAGGCGCGCGCAGGCGGUCCUUUAAGUCUGAUGUGAAAGCCCACGGCUCAACCGUGGAAGGUCAUUGGAAACUGGGGGACUUGAGUACAGAAGAGG
Molecule: ribosomal RNA, 693 nt
Filed under: uncultured bacterium
Lineage: Bacteria
Description: bacterial SSU rRNA
Rfam family: Bacterial small subunit ribosomal RNA
Source: RNAcentral